RNAcentral lists this long non-coding RNA (1597 nucleotides) under Homo sapiens (human). RNAcentral's name for it is "HSALNT0051383". Lineage: Eukaryota; Metazoa; Chordata; Mammalia; Primates; Hominidae. The record is from RNAcentral.
CCCAUGGCAGAGUUGAGUGAUCCAGUCUUUCUCUCUCCUCUGGCUGGAAGUCCACCAGAUCUGGGAAUGUCCAGUUGGGGGAGGGGGCUGACAAUGAUCAUGACCUUCACCUGUCCUCACAUGUCCUCUGUGUAUCUGCAAAGCCUCUGCCUCAGUCUCCUCUUCUGGAAAGUGGGAUUGGAAACCACAUCUGCUUCUCUCCCAGGACUUCUAGGAAGACAAGAUUAGAUGGCAGGUGAGAGCUCUUUGAAAAUGAAAACAUUCUGCUAUUUGAAUGCAAAGUGUUCUUCUUUGCCUGUGAUGUUUCCUAAUCUGUGAAAUCAUACUGGACCUCGAAGCUGUGUAUUAAAAAAAAAAAAAAUAGCAAAGUGGCUGGGCAGGGUGGCUCAUGCCUGUAGUCCUAGCACUUUGAGAGGCUGAGGGGGUUGGAUCACUUGAGGCCAGGAGUUCGAUACCAGCCUGGCCAAUAUGUGAAACCCCAUCUCUACUAAAAAUACAAAAAUUAGCCAGGUGUGGUGGCAUCUGCCUGUAGUUCCAGCUACUCAGGAGGCUGAGGCACAAGAAUCAUUUGAGCUCAGGAGGCAGAGGUUGCAGUGAGCCGAGAUGGCACCACUGCACUCCAGCCUGGGCGACAGAGCGAGGCUCUGUCUGAAAACAGAAAAAAAAAAAAAAAAAAAAAAAAAGCAAAGUUAACACUUCCUCCAUCUCUCCCCUAGGGGAGGCAAUUUGUCAAAGAUUGUUGUUGGAUUUUACACACAGGGAAAUCUAAGGAAGGUGUGGAAACCAGACCAGGACUCUCGUCUCCCUGUUUACAGGGUCUUAAAUGGGGGAGCCACUUUGGGUUCUUUCCACAAGAUUGCUUUGUAAAAAAAACAAGAAACAAACAAAAAACUCAAAAAAACAGCCCUGACCUAAAUAUUCACAAGGGACCUUAGGCAAUAUCUGCAAACAAAAGUGAAUGAUGAGUGGAAUCUGUCAUCUUUACAACUAAGACAGCUCCAGAGUUGAAGCAAGUGGAAAUAUCUCUAGAGACAGAGACUUGGGCGGGUUUUGCCAGUUACAAGCUAUGAGAACCUGGGCAGGUUUACCUCUCUGAGCUUCUGUGACCUUGUAAAAUAGGCAGCUUUGCGCUAAACUUGCAGGAGGAAUCCCAGCAUCCUCCUGUGCACAAGGCUGGUUUCUUCCCAUCCUUUUCCUUGUUCUGCCUCUCUCCUCCUCUCCAAGAAAUGAAUACAUUUGGACCCAGUAGGGGCCUAUGUUUGCAAAAGCUCGCAGGUGAUUCUCAUGCAGCCAGCCUGGCUCUGGCACUGAGGUCUUGGACACUUCUGGAGGCACAUUUACUAAUGAGGAAGGUCACUGUGUGCUGAAGGCAUGAUUCAUCUUCCAUUCCUUUCUUCCAUGAAGCAAGGUGCAUGGGUUGACUGAGCUGGGAGAGUCCACAGUGUCAGCCUCCCCCACGCUUCCCUCCCUCCUUAUUCCUUGUGUGCUGUACUUUGUCUUGAUUUCCUGUACUCUGCAUCAAGCCAGGAGAUGGAAGGAAAAUACAUGUACAGCCAACUUCCUUGAGGGUUCGUUCUUUUGCAUCAGGGUGUCUCAA